RNAcentral lists this long non-coding RNA (900 nucleotides) under Gossypium barbadense (sea-island cotton). RNAcentral's name for it is "long non-coding RNA (GBAR_LNC000121)". Lineage: Eukaryota; Viridiplantae; Streptophyta; Magnoliopsida; Malvales; Malvaceae. The record is from RNAcentral.
CGCUUACAGUCUUUACUAGCCCAUACAAAAUAAAACCAAAUAAAUAAUCGAAGUCCCUUUAAACGGUCCAGGACCCAAUAACAGACCAAGCCUAAGACCCAAAACAUUAAAACCUAAUCCUAGCCCAUUACACAGCCCAAUAACCUAACCCAAAACUUAGUUCAUUGACUCUUUUCAGAAAGUGGAAACCCUAGGCCACUAAGCCGCCGUUCCUAUGCACCACAAACACCAUCAGCAGUCCCAAAUAGUGAAGCUUCUAGAAGACUUCGCGUCACGCCUCACGAAUGGCCUCGCCAUGUCAGCAACACCGCGCCAUACACACCUGCGAGAAGAAAAUAAUAGAAAACAACUCACAACAGAUUGACAGCAAAUAGAUCUAAGGGAAUUUUUUUAUAUUUUUAAUGAUUAUUAUUCUUUUUAUUCGGCUAUAAAAGCCUGUGAAAUCGAAUGUAAAAGGGGGUGAGCCCAGAAAAAUUACGGAUACAAAUCUAUACAAAAAAAAAAGAGUUUGAAUAAGAAAUCAUCUCGAGAGUAGUUUUUCACAAGGUGAUUUUAUUUUCUUUUCGAUUCAUCUCCUGUUUCUUAAAGCUUUGCUACUGCGUAUGAAACCAAAUAUAAAAAAAAAGUGAGUAAAGGGAAGAGACUUAUCCUUUUUUUGAAGCUUCGAAAUCCUUGUUUGCUUCGUGGUAAUCGAAGCCUAGAUGAGGAUUGAAGUUAAAGCCGAGAAAAUUUCGCGAAUUUGCGGCCAGUUAGGACCAGAUUAAGCCCUCGUUUGACGUCGUCCGUCGAAUAUGGAGACGAAGGGACAGUUGUGAAGCUUUAGAUUCGGCUGAAUGAAUAAGGCCUUAGGUUUUGGUUUUAUUUUGAUUUGCUUUUAUUAGUUUUAGGUUUUUUUUUUAC